Numida meleagris (helmeted guineafowl) is the source of this 1726-nucleotide long non-coding RNA. RefSeq lists it as uncharacterized. The transcript is spliced from 2 exons. NCBI's taxonomy places the organism in Eukaryota, Metazoa, Chordata, Aves, Galliformes, Numididae. The record is from RefSeq and is a predicted model, not a curated record.
CAGAUCUGUGAACCUGGUUCUACUGGAAGUUCUAGUCACACAUUAGCAAUAACAUCAGCACUGAGCCGCUGUUGCCUGUGAGAUUCAUAACUCCUUCACAAGAACUGCACAGCAAAUCUACAAUGUACAAGAUGGAAGAAUUCAGGAAAAAAAAAAGAAAUCCAGCCAGACCACUCAACUGAUGUACAUCUUUAAAGACUUCUGCCUAGAGUUAAAUACAAGCACCACGCAUCUUCUUCCACCCUUCUUCCCUCCCCACUAAAUUUAAUUUGAAUUUCCACCUUGACAUGAAAGUAAGUAAACAUUGUUAGUAACUGAAAUAAUGCCCUGCUGCCAUGCCUGCUCCCUAGGGCAGCUGACCUUCAGAAGCUCUUCUCUUCAGAUGAAUGAAACCAGGAAGGGCCAGACGGAAACUUCAUUUUAUCUUCCCAGGAGGCUUCAAGAGCUGAUCAAAACAUUUUGACUUUUCUGCCUUUUAAAUCUCUCCUCCCUGCUUAGCCACUGCAACUGAGGGCAUGAAGAAAAAGGUCUCCUUCCAUCACUCCAGUCUUGUGGGCUUUCUCCUCAGCAAACAAAGCUGUUCCCACCCUUGCCUCCUUGGUUCACAGCCUCCUGCCUCCUUUUGUCCUCCUGCCAUGACCUGCUGGUAGGAGUGAGCACAUCUGGAAAGAACGCCAAUAUAUAUGUCUAUACAAGGCUGAACAUCAUUACUUCAGGUAGCUAAGGUACAAGAAGAAGUGAAGUUCAGACAGGGUUACAGAGCCCACUUGAGGCAAGGAUGCAUUGGGAUUCCUUUUUUUAACCCCAGCUUCCCAUCCCUUAAGUCACAGGGGUACCUAGAUUGAAAAUAAGAUGCAAAGUACUGUUUAACCACAUAUAGGCAGAACAAUCUGUUAGUGGAUUAUCUGUCCAAAUUUAUUUCACAGUGUACGCUGAAUGUUGUUUUUUUUAAACAAUCAAGUAAUUACAGCAUUCAGACACACAGGGAAAAUAAAAGAGGUUUUCUUCCAGCAGCUGAAAUCUUUCUCAGCACCUCCAAAUCAGCAAAAUUUGAAAACACACAAUCUUUUCCUUUAUGAAUUGCAAUUCAAAAUAAGAACUACUACAUACACCAUGUUUUUUGAUAAAUUUACUUAAGGGUAGCAGCAAUAACCUGACAUUCAGAAUAGAAUAGCAAGUUGAAUUAUGAAUGUAGAUUAUAUUUCAUCAUUUAGAAACAGUUUCCACUAUUUUAACAUAACACUUUGAACUUAUUUUCUACAUUCUAUAGGUUAUUCCAUAAGAAGCAAACAAACAGAAAUGUUUUAAAUUGAGUACAGUCACUUUUGCACUAUUGUAUCACAUAAUGGCAUACUCAUUCACUUAUUUAGGGGAUGGAUGAGCAGAAUCAUUUCCAUGUUUCUACCUUGUCUAGGCUUUAGUAUCUCUCUGGAAGUGGUAUUGAAGUCAAACUAGUGAAGGGAAAUUGGGACCUAGAGAAUGGAUUAGAUCGUGUAUUUCAGCUCUGACACUGAUUUCAGCUGCGUGGCUCUUUCUUACUUUUAUUCUUUAGUAAAUUCAGAAUCUCAAGCCAUCUUAAGAAUAAUAGCUUUUUCAUGGCUGACUUUUAUCUGGCAGAGAAUAAUUAAAACAAGUGGUAGUUUUAUUUUAAAAUUAAAAUCUCAUUUGCAACUGUUAGGUUCUGUUUUCAUUAGAAUUCUCAGAAUAAACAGUCUGGGGAAUAACA